This 328-nucleotide unclassified non-coding RNA is filed under the name soil metagenome. Its description in RNAcentral is "partial contains 5.8S ribosomal RNA, internal transcribed spacer 2, and large subunit ribosomal RNA". The stretch from base 1 to 120 matches the Rfam family "5.8S ribosomal RNA", at positions 35 to 154 of the family's 154-position model. The record is from RNAcentral.
GAUGAAGAACGCAGCGAAAUGCGAUAAGUAAUGUGAAUUGCAGAAUUCAGUGAAUCAUCGAAUCUUUGAACGCACAUUGCGCCCUCUGGUAUUCCGGGGGGCAUGCCUGUUCGAGCGUCAUUAUAACCACUCAAGCUCUCGCUUGGUAUUGGGGCUCGCGGUUCCGCGGCCCCUAAAAUCAGUGGCGGUGCCUGUCGGCUCUACGCGUAGUAAUACUCCUCGCGAUUGAGUCCGGUAGGUCUACUUGCCAGCAACCCCCAAUUUUUACAGGUUGACCUCGGAUCAGGUAGGGAUACCCGCUGAACUUAAGCAUAUCAAAAGCGGAGGA